CUGUCAGACAACCAUGUAGCCAUGCCAGGACCCAUCAGAUGGAUUGGCAACGAUCAUCUACUGAGCCAUAGCCGAGACCAUGAAGCUCUGUUAAUCACGCUCUGGCUACAUGGUCGUGAUUCAUCAACCAGACAUGGGUUUCUGUCUUCUUAGGAAUCAAGAAUACAGAGGUACGAGCAUAUAGAACAGAUCCUGUUCAAGUAAGGUCGUGCUUAAUGGUCUCAACAACCAGAAUACAACGCCGAUUUAUCUGCACUUCAGAGGCGAUGUGGGAUGUCGCUUCUAGAUUCUUGGGUCUCCUUUGUUACCUUGUGUAUAGGGACUGGUAAGAAAUUAAGUGGAACUAAUUCACACACGUUUUAAUCUUUACUUACUUUUUAACUGUCUAUAUUUUUGGACAUUUCUCCCUCACUAAAUUAAAAAUAGAGAAAAUGACAAAAAUAGCCAUUUACACUAAUGAGAUUACAAAAAUAGCAAAAAUAAAAAAAAAUCAAAAUUAGAAAAUUAGCCCACAAUUUCGCAGAUGGAGAUGCCCCAUCUGCGAAAUCAGCAUCUCAUCUGCGAAUGUACAAGCACCUAAAGCAGAACUGUGCUUUAGGUGCUUUUAAUUUUUUUUUUUUUUUUUUUUUUAUAAGGGUAAUUUCGCAGAUGGAAUAGGUCCAUCUGCGAUUUACUCUCAUUCUAUUUGCGAAAUUGUGGUUUUUUUUUUGUAUUUUUUUUAGUUUGACUAUAAAAUGAAUUGGUUUGACUAUGAAAUCAUGUUGCUAUAUAAAAAGUUUUGUAGAAAAAUAUCAUUUUGGUUGAUAUUUGUUUAGGAACUUUCUCUACAAUUUGCUCAAAAAAUGAUUGAAUAUUUGGUUUGUCUUGUAACCGGUGGGAGAUGGCAAGUUAAUGGAACUUGAUUUAUAUAACAACCAAAAUGAUAUUUUUCUACAAAACUUUUAUAUAGCAACAUGAUUUCGUAGUCAAACCAAUUCAUUUCAUAGUCAAACUAAAAAAAAUACAAAAAAAAAUCACAAUUUCGCAGAUAGAAUGAGAGUAAAUCGCAGAUGGACCUAUUCCAUCUGCGAAAUUACCCCUAUAUAUACAGAAAAAAAAUUAAAAAAAAAAAUUAAAAGCACCUGCGAAUGUACAAGCACCUAAAGCACAGCUGUGCUUUAGGUGCUUGUACAUUCGCAGAUGAGAUGCUCAUUUCGCAGAUGGGGCAUCUCCAUCUGCGAAAUCGUAGGCUAAUUUUGUAAUUUCGAUUUUUUUGGCUAUUUUUGUAAUGCAAUUAGUAUAAAUGGCUAUUUUUGUCAUUUUCUCUUAAAAAUAUUAUAAUUAUAAUUAUUAAUAAAUCUAUCUCAAGUUAAUAUUUUAUUAAUAGAUAUUAUCUAUUUAUCUUUCUCUUUUGCGUAUAAUCAUAUAUAGUUUGAGUAUUUCAAUUUCUGUUAUUUAUUAGUUAUUACAAAUUUUAUCGUUUUUAAGAUUACAAAAAAAAUAAUUUUUUUUUAUUUUAAGAUUAACUAAAAUUUCAUAAAAAUUGCUUAUCAAUAUAAAAUCAGUAUUAGGGACAUUGGGAAUUUAAUUGCUCACAAUGUUAAAAGCUAUGCUUGACAUAAUAACUUAAAAAUUAACUAAUAGCUAAAAAGUUAAUUGAUAAUAUAUAGGCUAACUGAUAAAAAAUAACAUUUGCUAAAAAUAAUUAAUAAGUUAGUUUGAAAACGUCAAAUGACAUACAAAUGACAUACAUGAGGAUAUAGAAAAUGUAUUUAACAAACAUAGUCUAAAGCUCCAAUGGCAAUAUGAAAAAAGUCAUUGAACUUUGUUUUUGCCUUUAGAAAAUCAAUUGUUAAUAUANNNNNNNNNNNNNNNNNNNNNNNNNNNNNNNNNNNNNNNNNNNNNNNNNNNNNNNNNNNNNNNNNNNNNNNNNNNNNNNNNNNNNNNNNNNNNNNNNNNNNNNNNNNNNNNNNNNAUAUAUAUAUAUAUAUAUAUAAAGUGCUCAUGUGUAUACCAUAAAAAAAAUGUCAGUCUUGCAUAUUAAACCACUUCCUACUAAUGGAAGAUCUUAAGCCAUCAAUAUUCAUUUAUAAAAUAACAAGCACCAAAAUCCUCGCAAUCUAAAGACAACAAACAAGUGUUCCUCCUACUAAACACGAUCGAACAACCAAUUCACGUAUCCUCGGUGUCAGUGAACUAAAGCAACAAAGGGACACCUCUAAAAUCGAUUCUCCAUCAAGAUAAUACACCUACACAACAGAAAUACACAAAAUCUUAUUUGGAUGUGAUGACGGGUCAGUGUUGACACCAGAGCCGCCCAGUGGAGUGUCUCCCAUCAUCGCUUAACAGGAUGCAGUGUCCUGCUGCUCUGAUACCAUAAAGAACCGAAUAAAGGAAAAACAAUAAUUACAAGAAAUCGAUAUUGACAUUGGAUGAAGAAGGGAUGUAUAUAAUCCCAAAAGACAACCGGAGUACAACGAGAUUUCAAAUAAAAGGAUAAAACAACUAGUAAUUAUCUAAUGUGAUUAUCUAAUAAUGAAACGAUAAACUCCUUUUUUAUGAGGCUUUGCCAGAUUCAUGCACAGUAUAUGCUAAGUGUAGCUACUCGGGAGGGAUUACAAACAACUAUAAAUAACACCACCACAAAAUUCAAUGAGGGAACAAGUAAGCAACUAAGUUGAGGCUCAAAUUUCCCAAAGUAAACAAGAAGUCUGACUAUAGGUAUCAUAUGUCAAAAACUACACAUUUGUUGGUAUACCAUGUUCUUAUGUUAUCAAAUGUGGAUUGGGGAUAUUUGUUCAUCUAUUCAACAUUCAAAGGUUGCAUAUAACUCACCACACAAUCAAUUAAUCAUCAAUCUUAUGUUAUCAACACCAUCAAACUUCCUAGCUUCCAUCCAGAAGAGUUGGUAUAUAUUGAAAUCUGGUGUGUUUAUUUAAAGCAUUCCUUUUCUUAAAAAUCAUUUAUAUUAUUGAGAAGAAGAUUAUAUCAUUGCUUAAAAAUCAUUUAUAUUAUUGAGAAGAAGAUUCUCCAUCAAGAUAAUACACAAACACAGCAACAACAAUAACAAUACACAAAAAUCCUAUCCCACAAACACAAAGCUCCCACCACAUUUAUUUUAUUUAUUUCCACAUUCAGCUCUUAAAAAUGUGAUUUCAACUCAUGUCACAAGUGGCAUAUGAAUUGGACCCGAGGGGAAAAAUGGCCAUACAUAACAUAAGUACUGAUAGAGAAAAUGUUGCUUAAAUCUUGAGCAAUGUACAAUCGCUUAUACAUGAAUACAAGUCAUAGUAGCAUUAUUGUCUUUGAUUACCUUGUUACAGAAACUAUGAUUCCAAGUAUCAUAGUAGCAUUGUUGUUUUUCUUAGCUCGUUACAAUGCUAAUGGAACUUGAUGAAGCCAAAAUCAUACCAGAAAGCUCCAGCAUCAUAACCUGGUUCAGGCAUUUAAUCGAACACUUGUUUUGCAUAUACAAACUGGCCACAUAACCUGGAUGAGCAAGAAUAUCACGAAAAUGACAGCAUAAUAAAGACUCUUUGAUCAUAAUCUCCUUCAGGCAUUUCAUCAAACACUUGGUUUGCAUUAGAAAAGGGACCAAAAAAAAGAUGAAGUUAUCUGUCAGACAACCAUGUAGCCAUGCCAGGACCCAUCAGAUGGAUUAGCAACGAUCAUCUACUGAGCCAUAGCCGAGACCAUGAAGCUCUGUUAAUCACGCUCUGGUUACAUGGUCGUGGUUCAUCAACCAGACAUGGGUUUCUGUCUUCUUAGGAAUCAAGAAUACAGAGGUACGAGCCUAUAGAACAGAUCCUGUUCAAGUAAGGUCGUGCUUAUCAGUCUCUCCAACCCUCAAAUAUCGCCGAUUUAUUUGCACUUCGGAGGCGAUGUGGGAUGUCGCCUCUAGAUUCUUGGCUCUCAUGGAAUAAAGGGACUGGUAAGAAAAUUGAGGGGAACUCAUUCACACACUUUAAGCUUUAGUUACUUUUUAAGGGUUUCGUUUUUCCGUUUAAUAUUUUAUUAAAAGAUCUAAUUUAUUUAUCUUUUCCCAUUUACAUAUAAAAUCAUAUAUAGCAAAUUUUAUUAUUUUUAAGAUUAUAAAAAAUUUAAACAUCUUCUAUUUUUCAAAUAAACUAAAACUUGGUAUAAUAUUGUAGAGGCGGCGGUUCCAUGAACCACGACACGGAACAAAAAUUGGGACGGAAUUGAAAUUAUGAAAUCAUAUUUGUGUCGUUUUCAUGUUAAAUGUAAAACAUACUAUGUCAUGUUAUGUUAUAUUCGUCUUCAAAAUUCUACAUGAAAUUGACAAGUUAGUAACAUGUGUUUGUCAUAUUUUCUUAUUUUUCGUAUUGUAUAUUUUUGAUGUUUGCCAUUUUUAUCAUGUUUUAAUUGGGUCAUUAUCAAAUUUGUUGUUAGUGUCUCGAAAAGGAUUGCGGUGGAGAACCGCAUUUCCAAUGGAUCGUGUGAGUUCGCUGUUCAAGCUGAUAUUCUCACUCUAUGUCCGAGUCAUAGGAAAUUCAGUAUAGGAUAAUCCAAAAGGACAUUUGUGAAUCUAGUUACAAAGACACAAAUCAAAUUACUAGACGAUUUUGAGUUCAUUAUAGAACAACAAGAGCUGAGAGACAAGGGCAUAAUUCACGACUCAAUAGAGGAGUCGUAUUUAUUCUUUGACAAAUUAGAGUUUUUGUCUUCUACAUUAGUUAAAAGAAUCACCGACAAGGGCUCUGCCCCUUCCCGCUAGGAGGCGUUGCCCUUAGGACUCUGCAAAAGAGUGUGACCCCUUGACCUAUGUCAUUUUGUCGUAUCGGCUUAUAAUUAAAUCUUAAAUGCACUCCGCAUUCACUUAUAAAAUACAAAUAAUAAGUCAUUCAGCUCACAUAGUAGUUCCAAUUACACAAAAUAUCUUGCGAUACCAAAAUCACUAAACGUAUAAUAUGGAAUACAAAUAAUAAGUCUUUCAGUUUACAUAUUAGUUCCAAUUACACAAAAUAUCUUGCGAUACUAAAAUCACUAACAUUAAUAAACAAAACACAAUAUCAUAUUGUGUUCAUGUUGUAUAAAAGUUAUCGUGUCAGCAAAAAAAUAUAACACAAAUGAGUAUGAAAGUCCAAGAAAAAAAAAUCCAUUUGAAAGGUAAAAACAUCAUCUUUUGAAAGUAGAUCAUCAAUGUAAAGUCCAUAUUAAAGAGCUUGGGAAUUUAUUUGUUCGUGGUGCUUAAAAGAUCGCAUUUUUUUUUCUAAGGUGUGGGGAUCGGAGUAUAUCAUAAAGUGAUUGGACUUUGUUUUUGCCAUUAUGAGAUCGGUUAUUAAAAAAAAAUGUGCUCAUGUGUAUACCAUAAAAAGUGUCACUCUUACAUAUUAAACAACCUCCUACAAGCAAUUACUAACCAUAAAACCCUUUACUACGAAAUAACAAGGAACAAAAUCACCGAAAUUAAAAGACAACAAAUAAGCGUUCCUCCUACUAAACACAAUUGGACAACCAAUCUCGUAUCCUUGGUGUCAAUGAACUAAAGCAACAAAAAGCCAUGUUUUAAAAUAAACUACAAUUUUGUAUAAACAUAAUGAUGUCAAUUCAUAGCACGAAACGACAAAUAUGCACACGAUAGGAUGGAAUUGGGAUUUGAGUUCAUGUUCAUGUCAUUUUUAUGUCAAAUGUAAAAAACACGACGUCCUAUCGUGUUCAGAUUCUAUACGAAAUUGACAAGAUAGUACCAUGUGUUUGUCAUGUUUUUGUGUUUAUCGUGUUUUGUUGGAUUAAUUUUGAAUUGAAUGAACUUAAAGCUUAUUGUAUUGCAUCUUUUUUGUGUUUGUCAUUUAAUUGGUUUGUUUUCAAAUUAGUAGAACAAAACAUGACAUCAUAUCCUGCUUUGUGUUUGUGUUAAGCACGACAAAACUGUUUGAUUUGUCACCCCUUAAUAAUAUGUAUGAGAAGUCCAAGGAAAAAAUUUAUCCACUUGAAAGGUAAAAACCUCAUCAAUCCAUGUGACACCUGGCAUAUGAAUUGGACUUGAGCGCGACUCAUCAUCUGUACAUAAACAAUUACCAUCAUCUUUUAACAAAUUGCCCCACCAAUCGCCACAUUUUUUUCUCCCCUAACACGCCUUUGGCGGGAAAACAAUAGAUAUGCUCUUUUGUCUGUUGUUGAUCGGUUUCAUUUACUGUCCUUGAAUUAUAUGAAAUGGUGGUAAAUAAAGUGAGGUCGUUUGGACAUGUGAAUUUGUCGUCCACAAUUUUAGCAUUCUUUCUCCAUGCAAUCGCUAAACUCGGGGGAAAAUGCCCUUUAUUGGUUUUAGAUUUUCACUUGUAUAAAAAAUAAGAAAUUUCCAUCCAAUCUCUACUCUUUAGUGGUACAAAUUUGCUUCCCAUAUAACAUGGUAAUUAAGUCGCCAGGAGAUACGUAACCAUACAAAGCAGAAACAUCCAAAACCUAUAAACUGUUUUCCGUAAGUCAUAAAAUAAGAAUAUAGAGUAUAGAUUAUAAACAACAUUAUCAAAUUGAGAAAAGUGAUCCUACAAUUUUAAUGAUAAGAUCCAUUCUUUAAAGAAUUCAUAAACUUAUUAUCAACACCCACAAAGAUUACAAACUUCCAAGCUUCAAACCAGAAGAGUUGGCAUAUAUUGAAAAGUUAGGGUGCUUAUUUAAAGCAUUAUUUUCCUUACAAAUCAUUUCUGUUCUUCAAGUACAUAAGAAAGUUCAUAAAAAAUUGUCAUAUUUCUAUUCCAUAAGCAAACAGAUUAUAACAUUGUUUAUUUGAUUUCCUGAGUUUGUUUACAGGUUCAAAGUCAAUGUAAAAAUCAUAUACAAGAAAGUUGGGCAUUUCAUCGAACACUUGCUAUGCAACCAAAAAGAUAUAGUUGUCUGUCAGACAACCAUGUAGCCAUGCCAGGACCCAUCAGAUGGAUUGGCAACGAUCAUCUACUGAGCCACAGGCGAGACAAUGAAGCUCUGUUAAUCACGCUCUGGUUACAUGGUCGUGGUUCAUCAACCAGACAUGGGUUUCUGUCUUCUUAGGAAUCAAGAAUACAGAGGUACGAGCCUAUAGAACAGAUCCUGUUCAAGUAAGGUCGUGCUUAAUGGUCUCAACAACCAGAAUACAACGCCGAUUUAUCUGCACUUCAGAGGCGAUGUGGGAUGUCGCUUCUAGAUUCUUGGGUCUCCUUUGUUACCUUGUGUAUAGGGACUGGUAAGAAAUUAAGUGGAACUAAUUC
Molecule: long non-coding RNA, 7184 nt
Filed under: Lactuca sativa (garden lettuce)
Lineage: Eukaryota; Viridiplantae; Streptophyta; Magnoliopsida; Asterales; Asteraceae
Description: long non-coding RNA (LSAT_LNC001636)
Source: RNAcentral